This 211-nucleotide ribosomal RNA is filed under the name Klebsiella pneumoniae. RNAcentral's name for it is "partial 23S ribosomal RNA". It matches the Rfam family "Bacterial large subunit ribosomal RNA", at positions 419 to 631 of the family's 2925-position model. Lineage: Bacteria; Pseudomonadati; Pseudomonadota; Gammaproteobacteria; Enterobacterales; Enterobacteriaceae. The record is from RNAcentral.
GGGACACGUGGUAUCCUGUCUGAAUAUGGGGGGACCAUCCUCCAAGGCUAAAUACUCCUGACUGACCGAUAGUGAACCAGUACCGUGAGGGAAAGGCGAAAAGAACCCCGGCGAGGGGAGUGAAAAAGAACCUGAAACCGUGUACGUACAAGCAGUGGGAGCACCUUCGGGUGUGACUGCGUACCUUUUGUAUAAUGGGUCAGCGACUUAU